GUGUACUUAGCCCAGUGUUUAGAGUUUCCGCCUAGUGUCUGGAGGUUGCAGGUUCAAAUCCUGCAGUGUACA
This 72-nucleotide transfer RNA is filed under the name Cronartium ribicola 11-2. Its description in RNAcentral is "tRNA-Thr (AGT) (tRNA-Thr-AGT-129-1)". It matches the Rfam family "tRNA". From Rfam's summary of the family: Transfer RNA (tRNA) molecules are approximately 80 nucleotides in length. Their secondary structure includes four short double-helical elements and three loops (D, anti-codon, and T loops). Further hydrogen bonds mediate the characteristic L-shaped molecular structure. tRNAs have two regions of fundamental functional importance: the anti-codon, which is responsible for specific mRNA codon recognition, and the 3' end, to which the tRNAs corresponding amino acid is attached (by aminoacyl-tRNA synthetases). tRNAs cope with the degeneracy of the genetic code in two manners: having more than one tRNA (with a specific anti-codon) for a particular amino acid; and 'wobble' base-pairing, i.e. permitting non-standard base-pairing at the 3rd anti-codon position. Lineage: Eukaryota; Fungi; Basidiomycota; Pucciniomycetes; Pucciniales; Coleosporiaceae. The record is from RNAcentral.